RNAcentral lists this ribosomal RNA (439 nucleotides) under uncultured Saccharibacillus sp. Its description in RNAcentral is "bacterial SSU rRNA". It matches the Rfam family "Bacterial small subunit ribosomal RNA", at positions 358 to 789 of the family's 1533-position model. Lineage: Bacteria; Bacillati; Bacillota; Bacilli; Caryophanales; Paenibacillaceae. The record is from RNAcentral.
GGAAUCUUCCACAAUGGGCGAAAGCCUGAUGGAGCAAUGCCGCGUGAGUGAUGAAGGUUUUCGGAUCGUAAAGCUCUGUUGCCAGGGAAGAACGUCCGGGUGAGUAACUGCACCCGGAGUGACGGUACCUGAGAAGAAAGCCCCGGCUAACUACGUGCCAGCAGCCGCGGUAAUACGUAGGGGGCAAGCGUUGUCCGGAAUUAUUGGGCGUAAAGCGCGUGCAGGCGGCGGAUUAAGUCGGAUGUUUAAGAUCGGGGCUCAACCCCGAUUCGCAUCCGAAACUGGCCCGCUUGAGUGUAGGAGAGGAAAGUGGAAUUCCACGUGUAGCGGUGAAAUGCGUAGAGAUGUGGAGGAACACCAGUGGCGAAGGCGACUUUCUGGCCUAUAACUGACGCUGAGGCGCGAAAGCGUGGGGAGCAAACAGGAUUAGAUACCCCUG